AAAGAGAGCAAAUCGGUAAUGGAACUACAAAUCCAAGAAUGGAAACAGGCAGUCGUCAGGGACCAAUUAGCAAUGGUGUUGCAAAAACUGCUGUCCCACCUACAGCCAGGACAUCGCAGAUGGUUAGUGCUGCUGUCCCACCUACAGCCAGGACACCGCAGACGGUUAGUGCAGCUGUUCCACCUACAGCCAGGACAUUGCAGAUGGUUACUGCAGCUGUUCCACCUACAGCCAGGGCAUCGCAGAUGGUUACUGCGGCAGUUUCAGCUCCUACUACUGUGUCUCCAAAACCUCCAUCCGUUCCCGGAAACGGGGGAAAUAAACCAAAAGCUUAAAGAACUGUAAAAAGAAUUCAGCACACAAG
RNAcentral lists this long non-coding RNA (364 nucleotides) under Fragaria vesca (wild strawberry). RNAcentral describes it as "long non-coding RNA (FVES_LNC000071)". The record is from RNAcentral. Lineage: Eukaryota; Viridiplantae; Streptophyta; Magnoliopsida; Rosales; Rosaceae.